UGUGAACAUCUAAUGAAAUUUUCUCAAGAGACUGCUCAGAGCAUUUUCCUUUCUUAUCCCUCUGAGAUUGGCCAUGAGAUGAUGGGAGUGACCAUCUGUAGGAACGAGAAAUGCAACCAAGCUGAGAGGAGCAGAGUCAGUCCAGUUUUGUCAAGGUUUGUCAGAAUUGCUCUGCAACUGUCUCUGAAGGCUUUUUAUUUCUCUUUUCAAGGAUGAAGGUGUGGAAACCUAUAGGUGAUGUUGCAUAUUUCCUGGCAUCAUUCUCCAUUGCAGAGCUGCAUCUCUGAAAUCCAGUUAAUUUAAGAAGAGUUACACCAGCCUGAGUACUACAUGUAACGUACCUUAGCAAUCAGAGAAUUGGGCCUUCUACACGUCUGGUGGUGCCGUUUGAAGGAAGGACAGCUUGAAAAACCCAGCCAAGCUGCCCUCUGCUGCCACCUCAGGCAUAUUUUGAAUCUUUCCCAGGUUGAAUGUUGCCCUCAUCGAUCCUUCCCUGACUACUGGAACUAUGGCUGUGAAGAUUUAGUUUCUUUUGAGGGCCUGCAUCAAAUAUGCUUAUCUGAGCUUCAUUCACCUUCCUCUGCAUUCUAGUCUGUUGAAGUAGACCUUUUCAAGGACAAAUGUAGCAAGUCACACAAUGACUAAAUAAAGUCUGCAGGAUUUCCUUGUGAUAUGAUAAAUUUUCAACACAACAAAGCAGAAAUUAAGUAGAAAUGCAUAAGGAAAUCCCAUGAAGGACUGAUAGAAAUGAAUUCAGAACUUUUUGCAGCAUAAUUUGGACAAGACAUAAUAAAGUCCACCAUAUACAAGUGAGAAGCAAUAAGUAAGAAGUAUAUAACUAGUAAACCAGCUCUCGAUUAAUUUAUAUUCUUUGCUACACAUUUAUGGUGAAACUCAUCUGUGUAUUAAGGGUCAUCAGAAGGUUCUAGACAAUACUGAUGCUCUACUUAUACUUCUUAUUAAGGGUAAAACUCACCCUAUUGAAGAGGACAAGCUUAAGAUCUAUGCACUCACUUAGUACCACUUAUCCCAAUUUUCACUUAACAAGGGCGCUUAUGCAAGACUCCUCCAGAAAGUGCCAAGUUUCUGCCAAGGAAGGCAGUGAGAGCUCCAGGAUCCCUCCGCAGCCAAAGCCAACGUGCGACAAGGGCAAUCCCCUCCAGGAGUUCCAUCUGGUGAGAUCAGGCCAAUUCUAUCUCUAUGCAAGCCUGAGGAUCGUGGAUGAAAGGAGCUGUGACUGAGUGCAAAGGCCUGGAAUGGAGCUGCAAGGCUGCACAGGGCCUGAGCUAUUCCUCGGAAGAGGUUGAAUUGUGCAGGUGAGCUCUGGGAGGUCUCAGUGACCACCUGCACGAUUAACUGCUGCAACUCCAGGAGUAUUUUUUGACAAGAUGUGUUUGUGUAAUUCUGUAAAAUCAAAGCAGUGGAAGACAUGGCGAAAAGUCUGUUUUACAAUGCCAUGGGAGUAUUUCAUGUGGUUGGGCCAACACAGAGGAAACAGCAAUUGCAAUGUUAGCAGUGAAUGAUAGCACAGUGCAGCUAAGAAUACAUUCAGCAAACUGAGAUCCUAUUUUUACACUGACAAAAAAGAGAAAAAAUGUAAAAUAUGUGU
Long non-coding RNA from Strigops habroptila (Kakapo), 1609 nucleotides. RefSeq lists it as uncharacterized. The transcript is spliced from 3 exons. Lineage: Eukaryota; Metazoa; Chordata; Aves; Psittaciformes; Psittacidae. The record is from RefSeq and is a predicted model, not a curated record.